Molecule: long non-coding RNA, 915 nt
Organism: Passer domesticus (house sparrow)
Lineage: Eukaryota; Metazoa; Chordata; Aves; Passeriformes; Passeridae
Exons: 3
Source: RefSeq, a predicted model, not a curated record
UUCACACUUUCCCUUGGAACACAUUUAUCUAUUACAUGUCUCAGAUGUUCAAGGGCUGAUCAACAAUCUGUGGGACUCCACCUAAUAUUUCUAUUCAGUAUUACACAGCUUCUUGUAUGGAUCUGGCCCAUACAGUAAGCUGUGCUACUUUGUAUUUUGCAUACGAAUAAAAAUCACGAAGAAUUACAUAUCACAGCUUAAAUAUCAAAGAUGACUGUCAAAUAAUUCAAACAGAAGGCUCUUUAUUGAAGUCACUUUACUGAACAACUUUGCAUUGGAAACCAAACAAGAGGAAGGAGAAUACUGAAUCAAAGCAAAGAGUCUUGCUCUUCAGUCGCACAUCUGCACAAGUGCUUCAAUGCACAGCUGGAUAACUAACUCCCAACUUUGGUGAAUUUGAAUUUGUUUCUCCACAAAAUGGAAACACAUACUCAUCUGCCUUAUUUCACAGAGGUAGAAUAUAUAAAGAUUUCUUCCAAGGAAUUUCAUCAAAAGACAUCAAAGUUAAAGCAGAUGGACCUUCAGGCACAAGACCCUCUUCUUCCUUGGGCUUCCCACUCCCUGGCCCAGCCUCAUCGUGCUGUUGGGGGAUGCCAGACCUCGUCAUACAGCUGACUGAAGUCUCACUGCUAAAUAUUGCUAAGAGCUGAUGUCCUCGUCAGAAAUCUACUGUCAUGGAUACAGUCAUCUAUUAUACUGAUUUCCAGUUUAAGAAACAUUUUGAUAUGUAAAGAAAACAGGGUGAGGUUUUCUUGUAAGAGAAAUAGCUAAACAAGGAACACUUCUGCCACAUCCAAAACAAAAUUUAGAAAACUAGACAAAAGCAAAGCAACUUAAAUGGAAACACCCUCUUUAAUAUUUGCUAAAAUCAGAAAUACUCUUGGAAAAAUGACUCCUAAGGCUAUCAUAACAGCC